GAUUGGCAAUCCGUUGGAUACCGACCGAGUUAUAGCUAAAACUUGGCGCAAAAAUGAGGAAAAUUUAACAUUUUCUCAAACAGGGUAAGGAACUUGGUUCCUCGAAUAACUUCUGGCACAGACAUCUGAGGGCAUGGUCGUCCAAGAAGAUAAUGUAGCCAUUGGUGCCAUCUAUCGACCACAGGUUAAAGAUUGGCGAUCCGUUGGAUACCGACCGAGUUAUAGCUAAAAAUUGGCGCAAAAAUGAGCUUUAUGAAAUUUUCUAAUUUUUCUAAUUUUUUAAUUUUUUUAUAAUUUUUUAUUCUGUUUUUUAUUUAAAGCAUUAUUUGAGUGAAAAGAAACUUAUUGCAACCAAUUGGCAUUAAAAAAAAAUCAAUUUUAUUUUUUUUGCAAAAUUUCUCAAAAAAAACGUAAGGGGUACCCCUUAUGAAAUUUUCGAGUGGAAAAUUUUUUUGAAUUUUUUUUCUGAUUUUUUAUUCUUUUUUUAGUUUAAUGCAUUAUUUGAGUGAAAAGAAACUUAUUGCAACAAAUUCGCAUUAAAAUAUAUCACAUUUAAAAAUUUUGCUGAAUUGCAGAAAAAUGAGAAAAAUUUAACAUUUUCUCAAACAGGGUAAGGAACUUGGUUCCUCGAAUAACUUCUGGCACAGACAUCUGAGGGCAUGGUCGUCCAAGAAGAUAAUGUAGCCAUUGGUGCCAUCUAUCGACCACAAGUUAAGGAUUGGCGAUCCGUUGGAUACCGACCGAGUUAUAGCUAAAACUUGGCGCAAAAAUGAGCUUUAUAAAAUUUUCUAAUUUUUCUAAUUUUUUAAUUUUUUUAUAAUUUUUUAUUCUGUUUUUUAUUUAAAGCAUUAUUUGAGUGAAAAGAAACUUAUUGCAACCAAUUGGCAUUAACAAAAAUCAAUUUUAUUUUUUCUUGCAAAAUUUCUCAAAAAAAACGUAAGGGGUAUCCCUUAUGAAAUUUUCGAGUGGAAAAUUUUUUUGAAUUUUUUUUCUGAUUUUUUAUCCUUUUUUUAGUUUAAUGCAUUAUUUGAGUGAAAAGAAACUUAUUGCAACAAAUUCGCAUUAAAAUAUAUCACAUUUAAAAAUUUUGCUGAAUUGCAGAAAAAUGAGGAAAAUUUAACAUUUUCUCAAACAGGGUAAGGAACUUGGUUCCUCGAAUAACUUCUGGCACAGACAUCUGAGGGCAUGGUCGUCCAAGAAGAUAAUGUAGCCAUCAGUGCCAUCUAUCGACCACAAGUUAAAGAUUGGCGAUCCGUUGGAUACCGACCGAGUUAUAGCUAAAAAUUGGCGCAAAAAUGAGCUUUAUGAAAUUUUCUAAUUGUUCUAAUUUUUUAAUUUUUUUAUAAUUUUUUAUUCUGUUUUUUAUUUAAAGCAUUAUUUGAGUGAAAAGAAACUUAUUGCAACCAAUUGGCAUUAAAAAAAAUCAAUUUUAUUUUUUUUGCAAAAUUUCUCAAAAAAAACGUAAGGGGUACCCCU
Molecule: long non-coding RNA, 1476 nt
Organism: Anopheles funestus (African malaria mosquito)
Lineage: Eukaryota; Metazoa; Arthropoda; Insecta; Diptera; Culicidae
Exons: 3
Source: RefSeq, a predicted model, not a curated record